RNAcentral lists this long non-coding RNA (945 nucleotides) under Dasypus novemcinctus (nine-banded armadillo). RNAcentral's name for it is "lncRNA (ENSDNOG00000051997.1)". The record is from RNAcentral. Lineage: Eukaryota; Metazoa; Chordata; Mammalia; Cingulata; Dasypodidae.
CGAGGAUGACAACUCAGGGAUCGGUCUCUGGGGCUCAAGAAGAAUCGCCCGACGGGCUACUCGGGCCCAGCCUUCGCCCCGCAGCCCACGCCGCCCUCUCGCUUCCCGGGGCCUCCGCGCUCCCUUCCUCCUCACACCUCUACUUCCUCACCUCCGCUCCUGCCUCCGCGCCUUCCUCCCUUUCGGUUUUAUUUUUACUUUCCACGCCGGAUGGGAGCGAGGGCAGGGUCGAGGAUGCCAGCGGGCAGUAGCAACGCCAAGCCCUCGUCGGCAUCCGGCGCCUGAACCUCUGGGGUCGCUCUCAAUCGAACUCUGCCACGCACGAAAGCUGCCAGACACCGGAACAACCUCCCCCCAGAACCAGCCGAGCAGGAACCGGCGGGUUCGGCGCCGGCCUGAACGUCGCCCGCCCGCAGCGUCGCCAACGUCGGCACGUCGGCUCCCUCCCACCCUCCCACGGUCCGCUAGCGUGCGCGCGCCGCUGGUCCGCCUCCAGCGCUCAAGGAGAGGAAGCUGGGAGGGGCCGGCCUGCGGGGUGGGGCCGGAUGCCUCUGGUCCCGGGCGUUGGGGGUCUCGCGGGAAUCCGCAGAGUGCUGACUUGCGGCUCAGGCUCACAACCCGGAAUCCUUCCCUGCGGUUACCUGAGUAUGCUGUGUAUUCUUCACGUCCUUUUCUGCAACAUGAGCACUUGGGAGAAAUAACUCCUAUUAAAGAAAGAAAGUGGGCACAAGUCCCAAUAAUUCCAUUCCUCAAACUGGACCCAGGGACUGAGAACUGCAGAUGGUUUUCCCUCAGACCUUAUCGAGUCUUUCAAGAAAGUAAAUCAAAAUGUAAACGAUCGUCCACGGUUAUUGGGAAUGCCGCAAUAUGUUUUCAUCAAUUGUAAAAAAUGUACCAUACAAAUAAAGGAUAUUGUUUAUGGGGGAAGUGUCCUUAUAAUUUUUC